This is a long non-coding RNA of Dermochelys coriacea (leatherback sea turtle), 2160 nucleotides long. RefSeq lists it as uncharacterized. The transcript is spliced from 3 exons. The record is from RefSeq and is a predicted model, not a curated record. Lineage: Eukaryota; Metazoa; Chordata; Testudines; Dermochelyidae.
UCCCUAUAGGACACCACCUGAUAUGCCCUUCCAGCUCAAUUGCGAACUAUUGAGAAUACUCCCUGAUGAUAGUCUUCCAACCAGUUGUGCAUCCACCUUAUAGUAAGUUCGUCUAGGCUAUAUUUCUCUAGUUUGUUUAUGAGAAAGUCUUGUGAGACAGCCUUACUAAACUUGAGAUAUAUCACAUUUACUGCUUCCCCCCAUCCAAAAAACUUUUUACCCUGCCAAAGAAGGAUGUUAGAUUGGUAUGACAUUAUUUGUUCUUGACAAAUCCAUGUUGACUGUUACUUAUCACCUUAUUUUCUUCUAGAGAUCUAGGAAUUGAUUGAUUAUUUGCUCUAUUAUUUUUCUGGGUACCGAAGUUAAGCUGACAUGUAGAAUUCCCUGGGUUGCCCUCAUUCCCCUUUUUAUAGAUAGGUACUAAAUUUACCCUUUUGCAGUCCUUGGGUAUCUCUCCUGUCCUCCAUGAGUUCUCAAAGAUAACUGGUAAUGGCUCAGAUUAAUUGGGUUCAUAGCUAAUAGUAUUGUAGAGGCCCAAAAGACCACAUCAUCCAGUUUGAUUCUCCAGGAUGAAAAGAGAAGAGGAUUGAAACAAUGUUUUUUCAAAAUGAAGUCUAUUUCUACCUCUUUAAAUUACAAAGAUUGUGCAAAAAGAAUUUUCCAUAGAAGAACCUCCACUUCGGUUUCCAUAACAAAAUACUAAUAGAGACAAACACUUUCAAAGAAGUGAUCGUGAUCAAAACUGUAGUCAAACCAUCUUCCAGACUUCUCUCCCUAUUGGCCCUUCUAUCUCACUCUGCCUCCUGACUAAUUAAAAGCAGUCCAGUCCAAGUUGCAACAAUAGAUCUCCUCUGGCUGUUCCUAGGUGCUUCUAAAAAAUAAGCAAAUUCCCAAUUCACAUGGACUCUAUCUCAUUCCAUGUCCAUACACUAUGCAUGUGCUGGGGUAUACAGACCCUACAUCUGAAGGGGUUAAUGAGGAACACCUGAAUGAAUGGGUUAAUGAGAGACUGUGGGCCCAUCAGCCCCACCCUGUUACAUCUAAGCAAGGUGUCAAGCCUGGAGGGAGGAGAUGUAAAAAAGGAAAAGCCCAGCUCACUUAUGGCUGAUUAGAUGAGGGAGUAGACCUCUUGAGCUAAUUCACUGGUGCUAGAUACUGCCUUGAAGUUGCCUGGGUAGACUAUUUGGUGCUAGAACCUAGAGAUCCAAAGUAUCUGAGCCUCCUUAAGGCAGGUAGGCCUGGUGCAGGACUUUUUAUUUUUUGGUCUUCAUAGUUAGUUUUGUUUUGGGAACUUGCAAAUAUGUCAUCUGGAGAAGAGGCUAUGAGGAAGGCCUAGCUACGGGCCAUGGUAGGGAGCAGCUCAGGGAUACAUCAGAGUGUCUGAAGUAAACUAAUCUCUUCUGCUUCAGACAUGGUCCCUGGUUUGGCUCCUAGAAUGGAGGUCAGGCCUGUGUUCCCCUGCCUGAGGUGUGAAGACCUUGGCGCCAAGGGACCCUGGCAGGCCCAAAAAGCUCAAAGUUGGCCUGAACAUCUGAUGUUAGCAGAUCAAUGAUGUGGUGGACUGAGGCUUCUCUGGAAGGGGUUGGACUAAAAGUGGACUGGUAAGAGGGCCAAAUCACAGGAAGAGGCAGACUGCUGCAGAACCAAAGUGGCUGAGGCAGGAAGUACCAAAGGAGGAGGAGAGUCACUACACCAUGUACAGCCAUAGUGGUGUGUGUCUGGAACCCCUUUUCUGGAAGGCUUCACUUCUGCUAGCAUCAAUUUGUGUAUAGACCUUCUUGUUAAUAUUCUGAACAAUAAAUGAAAGAUGUCCAAGUGCUAACAGACUGAAAAAAGCACAAUAUCAGAUGUAGACAGAUCCAAAGGACUGGGAACAGUAUUUGAUGAAUAUAACAUUCAUAUACCUGUGACUUGUGGUUUUAUACUUUUUAGUAAGGCUGAAAUGUGAUGGUACUGAAGUUAUAUAUCUGAAAAAAAUACCGUAAUCACAUAAAAUCAUUUUAUGUGCAUUUAAUUAAGAAGGCACACCUUGAAGAAAACCCUAAUAUAAUUCAGAGCUUGUAAAUUUAAGAUCCAAACAUUUGUAUUAAUAUAUUUGCAACUGUUAUUUCAUCUUUUUGUUGCAUUGCACUGAAAAUAUAAAUUAAGAUAUUGACAUCA